GACGAACGCUGGCGGCGUGCUUAACACAUGCAAGUCGAACGGAAAGGCCCUGCUUUUGUGGGGUGCUCGAGUGGCGAACGGGUGAGUAACACGUGAGUAACCUGCCCUUGACUUUGGGAUAACUUCAGGAAACUGGGGCUAAUACCGGAUAGGAGCUCCUGCUGCAUGGUGGGGGUUGGAAAGUUUCGGCGUUUGGGGAUGGACUCGCGGCUUAUCAGCUUGUUGGUGGGGUAGUGGCUUACCAAGGCUUUGACGGGUAGCCGGCCUGAGAGGGUGACCGGCCACAUUGGGACUGAGAUACGGCCCAGACUCCUCCGGGAGGCAGCAGUGGGGAAUAUUGCACGAUGGGCGGGAGCCUGAUGCAGCAACGCCGCGUGCGGGAUGACGGCCUUCGGGUUGUAAACCGCUUUCGCCUGUGACGAAGCGUGAGUGACGGUAAUGGGUAAAGAAGCACCGGCUAACUACGUG
This 468-nucleotide ribosomal RNA is filed under the name uncultured bacterium. RNAcentral describes it as "partial 16S ribosomal RNA". It matches the Rfam family "Bacterial small subunit ribosomal RNA", at positions 28 to 507 of the family's 1533-position model. The record is from RNAcentral.